Molecule: long non-coding RNA, 1540 nt
Organism: Mus caroli (Ryukyu mouse)
Lineage: Eukaryota; Metazoa; Chordata; Mammalia; Rodentia; Muridae
Source: RefSeq, a predicted model, not a curated record
GCAACAGUGUACAGAGUCCAGUCCUCACCGGCCAUGUCCCUCUCUGGGCAGCAGUUGGGUGUCUCACAGACUGGAGGAGGCUGUCAUCUGGAUUCCGCCCUCAGCCAGAUCUCUUACACUCAGGGAAGAUUCCAGGUGUCCUGGGGAGUAGUGACUCAGACACUGGACUUCCUGGUUCUUUAGACACAAACCCAACACUAUUCUGAACUAAAGCUGAUUGGAACACAGCAGUUUCACCCUGAACUUUACCAAGAGGCUACUUUCAACAGGACAGAUCCAAAUUUCACCUUGAAAAAAAAAAUCCCACUUAAGAGUUGUGGACGCAACGCUAUCACACUCUUUCGAGUGACGUGCAAUCUUGGAGACGAUCCUCAGCGGGCAAGACUCCUCAAUGACCCAAGCGAACCCAGUACAGUGCCCUGUGGCUCAAGUUCACGCUGUGUAGCCGGAUGACCUGCUCCCGGGAUGAGUAAUUGAAUACAAGUGCAUAAAUGGAAUUAUUUUCCCAUUGUCUCCAUGUUCCCAUCGAGCGUAUGUAAAUGGGCCUUUUACCUCUGACAGCCUUUCAUGGACGCCUCCAGCUUGGCAGCUGUGGAAUCAGCUUUACCUGCCCAUCUCUCAGUGCCUCUGCUGCCGGGAUUGAUUUUUGAGACCAAAAGGCAACAUAAAGGACCCUAAAUACACGAAAGCCCUCUGCACAUAGCUUUAUUUACACCCCCACUGAAGAUCUAGGCUCUGGAGAGCCUUAGCCACAAAGUGAAACCAAUCAGGUCUCACGGACGUGACUGGCACAGGUCCCAGGAAGCCGUGGAAGGACCCUUUGUCCCUGGGCAGAAACAGAUGGCGACUGGAUAUCGGUUCUCCUGUGGGACAUCACCGGGGUCCCCCAGGUGAAAUUCACUGGGUACCAAUGCCUCAGGCAGGCUGCUUUUUCUUUUCAAACGUCUGCCUGCCUGAAGUCUCCAGAUCCAAGUUCACCGUGGAUGAAGAUGGGUCAGGAAGGCCCAUGCAAUGGGUUUUAUUCCCCUGUAGGUGUCAUCUUUCCGACACAGGUUCUGAGCAGGAGUACUGUCCUCUCAGAAGACCAUAUCUCUGCUGUGUACAUCUUCCCUGGACUUGGAGGGAUCUGAGAAAUGGAGAAGGGGAGUAGGCUGCCUUUGUGUGUUGGUGGCUUCUGAAGCGCCCUCUCAACAGAUAUCUUUUGAAUGGAACUUGCUUGAACUGGAGUUUCAGCUGCUAGGACAUCACAUGGAGUUUUCAGAAGAAACUAUGUAUGUAAGUUUUCUCUCUCUCUCUCUCUCUCUCUCUCUCUCUCUGUGUGUGUGUGUGUGUGUGUGUGUGUACCAGACAUGGAACACUGGGCCUUGUGCAUACUGGGCAAGCACAUCCUGCUGAGAGUCACUACUUCCCCAGGCCUCGAGGCCAAGGUGUUUGUUUGUUUGUUUGUUUUUGUUUUAUUCCAGAUGACACCUAGUAAUUGUAUAUAUUGAGGGGUACCGCAUGCUGUGUGCCAUGUGAACCUUCUAAGCCCACCACCAGC